GAUGAACGCUGGCGGCGUGCCUAACACAUGCAAGUCGAACGAAGCGGCUCAAAGUUUUCGGAAUGAUUGGUGACUGAGUGGCGGACGGGUGAGUAACGCGUGGGUAACCUGCCUCACACAGGGGUAUAACAGCUAGAAAUGACUGCUAAUACCGCAUAAGACCACAGUACCGCAUGGUACAGUGAUAAAAACUCCGGUGGUGUGAGAUGGACCCGCGUCUGAUUAGCUAGUUGGUGGGGUAACGGCCUACCAAGGCGACGAUCAGUAGCCGGCCUGAGAGGGUGAACGGCCACAUUGGGACUGAGACACGGCCCAA
This 316-nucleotide ribosomal RNA is filed under the name uncultured bacterium. RNAcentral's name for it is "bacterial SSU rRNA". It matches the Rfam family "Bacterial small subunit ribosomal RNA", at positions 28 to 334 of the family's 1533-position model. The record is from RNAcentral.